AGGAAAUAAAAUGGGUCACCCAGGUUAAGAGCUAAUUUAAGUAACUGUUUAAUCAAGCAACUGGUUAAUUAAUCAGUGGGUUAAUCUUAGAAAUGUAAAAGAAAACACAAGAACACAGGAUAAAGGGCCAGGAAGAGAAAAGAGUGAUAAUGAAACUUCCUUCCAGAAAGAAGACUUAUCCAGGACAAGCUAACAGCUUUGACAUUCCUUGUCUACCUCUAGACCUGGACUUUAAGGUGUCUCACCCAAUUCUUUGUUCAGGAGAAAAAUUAUCUGUAGAAAAUCCUGGAAAGAGUUCACAGUACCCCCAGAACCCUGGACCCACAAUGUGCCAUGGCAAAUGCCCUGCAGAUCACAGGAACUUUACCAUUAGGCUGUAUCCUUAAAACUUGGAAACAGUUUGAUCCCUGCAAUCUGAAUAAAGAACAACUUAUCUUCUAUUGCAGUACUGUUUGGGACGAGUAUGACUAGAAAAUGAUUAGAGAUGGGUAUUGAAUGGCAGUCUAAAUUGCAAUCUAUUCUUCAAUUAGGUCUUUUUGGCAAAAGUCAAGUAAAGUUGUGCGAAAUACCCUGCGUUCAGGCUUCUGUGGCUCUUUAUCUCUGAAAAGACCCCAGUCUCCUGCAAGGAAGAGGGAACUGUUAUCAUUGACAACCCUGUCCUCAAAUGCCCACCUGUUCCUCAGGGGUAUAUGAGUUUCUCCUACAUGUUAAAUGAAAAUAACUACACUGGAUAGUCUCCUUGACCUCCUUUUUAUAAUCCUCAGGCCAGUAAUCAAUUCCAUUCUCUUCAAGUGGUUCAGAAGCUACAUCAGAUGCUAGGUGCUCCAAGACAGCCAGUAUUUCCCAGCCCUCUCCUCAUGCUCCUGAGACAGCUUUUAGUCCUGCAG
RNAcentral lists this long non-coding RNA (887 nucleotides) under Fukomys damarensis (Damara mole-rat). RNAcentral's name for it is "lncRNA (ENSFDAG00000026884.1)". Lineage: Eukaryota; Metazoa; Chordata; Mammalia; Rodentia; Bathyergidae. The record is from RNAcentral.